AUGGUCCACGCGUACGCACCGGUUCCUCCGCGCCGUCCACACCCACCUGCCGAACUGUUUGCGACGUAGUGUUUGCC
This 77-nucleotide small RNA is filed under the name Xanthomonas dyei pv. eucalypti. Its description in RNAcentral is "sX9 sRNA". It matches the Rfam family "Xanthomonas sRNA sX9". The record is from RNAcentral. RNAcentral also lists the same sequence under 1 other name. Lineage: Bacteria; Pseudomonadati; Pseudomonadota; Gammaproteobacteria; Lysobacterales; Lysobacteraceae.